UCGCGCCCGGCCAGGACGCCCGGCCGGCGGGCCACGACCCCGGCGGCGCGGCCCGCGCGCACGCCCACGCCGGUCCCGACCCCGGCGGCGCGCCC
Molecule: transfer RNA, 95 nt
Filed under: Sphaerisporangium krabiense
Lineage: Bacteria; Bacillati; Actinomycetota; Actinomycetes; Streptosporangiales; Streptosporangiaceae
Description: tRNA-Arg
Source: RNAcentral